GUGAAAAAAAUAUUUAGUCUGGCCUGCCCACUGAGUGUUUGAAGGGCCGCGGUAUCUGAACCGUGCUAAGGUAGCAUAAUAAAUAGUCUUUUAAUUGAGGUCUAGUAUGAAUGGUCGGACAGGAAGUAUGCUGUUUUAAUCGCAAAAAAUGAAUUUUACUUUUAAGUGAAAAGGCUUAAAUUUAGUAGUGGGACGAUAAGACCCUAUAAAGCUUUACAUCUCUGUUAUUGGAGUAAAGAAAUUAAGGUGACCUAUCUUCUUUGAUUAGAGUGUUUCGUUGGGGCGACGAGAAUAUAAAUAGUAACUGUUUUUUGGAAAAAACAGAUUUUUUUGGGGAGUUGAUCCUCUAUUGGGAUUAUAAGAAUAAAGUUACUUUAGGGAUAACAGCGUAAUUUUUCUUGAGAGUUCAUAUCGACAGAAGUAGUUGCGACCUCGAUGUUGAAUUAAAGUUUCCCUUAGGUGUAGAAGUUUAAGUGGUGGGUCUGUUCGACCUUUAAAGC
RNAcentral lists this ribosomal RNA (500 nucleotides) under Caridina buehleri. Its description in RNAcentral is "partial 16S ribosomal RNA". It matches the Rfam family "Bacterial large subunit ribosomal RNA", at positions 1833 to 2594 of the family's 2925-position model. Lineage: Eukaryota; Metazoa; Arthropoda; Malacostraca; Decapoda; Atyidae. The record is from RNAcentral.